RNAcentral lists this ribosomal RNA (257 nucleotides) under uncultured bacterium. RNAcentral describes it as "partial 16S ribosomal RNA". It matches the Rfam family "Bacterial small subunit ribosomal RNA", at positions 96 to 354 of the family's 1533-position model. The record is from RNAcentral.
CGGCGGACGGUGAGUAACGCGUGGGCAACCUGCCUUACACAGGGGGAUAACAGUUAGAAAUGACUGCUAAUACCGCAUAAGACCGCAGUACCGCAUGGUACAGCGGUAAAAACUCCGGUGGUGUAAGAUGGGCCCGCGUCUGAUUAGGUAGUUGGUGGGGUAACGGCCUACCAAGCCGACGAUCAGUAGCCGACCUGAGAGGGUGACCGGCCACAUUGGGACUGAGACACGGCCCAGACUCCUACGGGAGGCAGCAG